UGUUGGUUUGGGAAAUGGGAACCAAAACCCUUUUAUUAGAAUUCUGUCGAAAGUAAACAGUAAGUGACUGUUACCCUGGUGAGAGCUGAGAAUUGCAAUGUGCUCCUCAUUUUGAGCAGAUAGGAGGAUGGGUGGAUGGAGCUGAGUGAUAUCCUACACAGAACAGCCUCUCCCUUCGCUUCUCACCAGGUCUCCGCAGUCAGUGACUCAUCCAUCACAUAUGAUGAUUGCCAAACUAGAUGGAAAUAAAAGGCUCUCGCGUCCCAUCAGAAAGCUCACGUCAGCUAAGGAGACAGGUUCUUGGGUGGGAUCGUGAACCAUGAAUACUGACUUGCGUAACCUUGCCAGGAACCCAAGUUCACCUGUCGGAGGAAGAGGCUUCACCUCAGCUUUGCAACUGCCGUAUUCCUCUUGGUCUUCAAAAGAGGACUCAACACUCACCAUAUCCAACGCUGGUACUACAGGCAAUCAGUACAAGCCUUGCAUCAUGGAAGGACAUCAGACAGAAGUGUGAGUGCACAGCAGAGGAACAUUCAUGGGGAAAAAAACUGUUCUGUAGACAGCUGUAUUUGAAGCACAACCUUCUGAGUGUGAAGCCACCCUGAACUGUGAGCCUUUCGGAAUGUGCAACAUCGUGGGCUGUUGACUCAUCGUGUAAAUAACAGCAUGCCAAAGCAGUCGACCGGCUGUCCAGGGGAUGCAAGAGGGCAUUUAAGGACAACUAACUCCGAACAACUGUGGGACAACUGGAUUGAGGAUGGGUGAAUUUCUGGACAGGCAGUUUCAGAGGACAGCUGUGUCAGAAAACAGGGUCUUAAAUUUCCUUCAGGUUUUGAAAAUUUCACAGCUGAUAAAAUAUACAGUACAUGAAGAGCUCAUCAGGAAAAGGGUGAGAUGGCAUCGCUGUUAUGGUCUGGCUUGUGAAUGUAACAAGUUAAUGAAUAUCCAGGCAUACGGGGCAUGGUGUAUAUUCUGCCAGGCCGUUCGAUUCUGAGAGCAUCUUUCUCAGAGAGUGUGAAAAACAUGAGAUUCAACCACAAGCCGCAUUUGCCCUUGAGGAAAGGUGCAUCCUUUUCGGAAUGUGGUCCCAAAUGACCCCUUACAGGUUACUUAGCGUGACACUCCUGAAUCUAUUGCCACAGAUACAUCCAUAAUGCAUUUUGUCUUUCCCCUAAAGGCUCUGGGAAAGGUUUUCUUAAAACAUGACGCUACUCGCGGACCUCCGUCUGACAGCGCCGGUGUCAAAGCAUCAGUGCGACCCGCAGCAGCAAACUUUCCUGUGUGUCACCAAACGCCCAGUAAAGUUCCGUCAAG
This is a long non-coding RNA of Brienomyrus brachyistius, 1314 nucleotides long. RefSeq lists it as uncharacterized. NCBI's taxonomy places the organism in Eukaryota, Metazoa, Chordata, Actinopteri, Osteoglossiformes, Mormyridae. The record is from RefSeq and is a predicted model, not a curated record. The transcript has 4 exons.